AUGGCUCAGAUUGAACGCUGGCGGCAGGCCUAACACAUGCAAGUCGAGCGGAUGACGGGAGCUUGCUCCUUGAUUCAGCGGCGGACGGGUGAGUAAUGCCUAGGAAUCUGCCUGGUAGUGGGGGACAACGUUUCGAAAGGAA
RNAcentral lists this ribosomal RNA (142 nucleotides) under Pseudomonas sp. URIL14HWK12:I5. Its description in RNAcentral is "16S rRNA. Bacterial SSU". It matches the Rfam family "Bacterial small subunit ribosomal RNA", at positions 19 to 160 of the family's 1533-position model. The record is from RNAcentral. Lineage: Bacteria; Pseudomonadati; Pseudomonadota; Gammaproteobacteria; Pseudomonadales; Pseudomonadaceae.